Molecule: small RNA, 125 nt
Filed under: Marmota monax (woodchuck)
Lineage: Eukaryota; Metazoa; Chordata; Mammalia; Rodentia; Sciuridae
Source: RNAcentral
GCCAGGCCUGGUGGCGCACACCUGUAAUCCCAGCAACUCAGGAGGCUGAAGCAGGAGGAUUCCAAGUUCAAAGCCAGCCUCAGCAAUGGUGAGCUGCUAAGCAACUCAGUGAGACCCUGUCUCUA